RNAcentral lists this ribosomal RNA (397 nucleotides) under uncultured bacterium. Its description in RNAcentral is "partial 16S ribosomal RNA". It matches the Rfam family "Bacterial small subunit ribosomal RNA", at positions 523 to 918 of the family's 1533-position model. The record is from RNAcentral.
AUACGUAGGUGGCAAGCGUUGUCCGGAAUUAUUGGGCGUAAAGCGCGCGCAGGUGGUUCCUUAAGUCUGAUGUGAAAGCCCCCGGCUCAACCGGGGAGGGUCAUUGGAAACUGGGGAACUUGAGUGCCGAAGAGGAUAGUGGAAUUCCAAGUGUAGCGGUGAAGUGCGUAGAGAUUUGGAGGAACACCAGUGGCGAAGGCGACUGUCUGGUCUGUAACUGACACGGAGGCGCGAAAGAGUGGGGAGCAAACAGGAUUAGAUACCCUGGUAGUCCACGCCGUAAACGAUGAGUGCUAAGUGUUGGGAGGUUUCCGCCCCUCAGUGCUGCAGCUAACGCAUUAAGCACUCCGCCUGGGGAGUACGGUCGCAAGACUGAAACUCAAAGGAAUUGACGGGG